RNAcentral lists this ribosomal RNA (534 nucleotides) under uncultured bacterium. RNAcentral describes it as "bacterial SSU rRNA". It matches the Rfam family "Bacterial small subunit ribosomal RNA", at positions 777 to 1304 of the family's 1533-position model. The record is from RNAcentral.
AAUAGAUACCCUGGUAGUCCACGCCGUAAACGAUGAGUGCUAAGUGUUAGAGGGUUUCCGCCCUUUAGUGCUGCAGCUAACGCAUUAAGCACUCCGGCCUGGGGAGUACGGCCGCAAGGCUGAAAACUCAAAGGAAGUUGACGGGGGCCCGCACAAGCGGUGGAGCUAUGUGGUUUAAUUCGAAGCAACGCGAAGAACCUUACCAGGUCUUGACAUCCUCUGCCAACCCUAGAGAUAAGGCGUUCCCCUUCGGGGGACAGAGUGACAGGUGGUGCAUGGUUGUCGUCAGCUCGUAUCGUGAGAUGUUGGGUUAAGUCCCGCAACGAGCGCAACCCUUGAUCUUAGUUGCCAGCAUUCAGUUGGGCACGUCUAAGGUGACUGCCGGUGACAAACCGGAGGAAGGUGGGGAUGACGUCAAAUCAUCAUGCCCCUUAUGACCUGGGCUACACACGUGCUACAAUGGAUGGUACAAAGAGCUGCGAACCCGCGAGGGUAAGCGAAUCUCAUAAAGCCAUUCUCAGUUCGGAUUGUAGG